UGCGCCCAUGAUGUAGUGGCAGCCUUCCUGCUUGCCAUGCAGGGUGUGUCGGUUCGAUUCCGGCUGGGCGCAU
RNAcentral lists this transfer RNA (73 nucleotides) under Posidoniimonas corsicana. RNAcentral describes it as "Planctomycetes bacterium KOR34 tRNA-Gly". It matches the Rfam family "tRNA". Rfam says of the family: Transfer RNA (tRNA) molecules are approximately 80 nucleotides in length. Lineage: Bacteria; Pseudomonadati; Planctomycetota; Planctomycetia; Pirellulales; Lacipirellulaceae. The record is from RNAcentral.